GUUUUUAGAAGUUUAUGGUUGUUCAACUUCCAUGGCACAACCUUUCUUCUUCAUCAACCAUGGUGGCGCGAUCUCUCUGCUUACUCUCAUUUCCUUCGCUUCCUCUUAUUCCUUAACGCCUCCGUGACAACAUCAAGGCCACUGCCUCCGUUUAGCACCUCAAUCUCCUCCAUCCCUGUUUGCUUCGCCGUCCUCUGUCUACAUCAUCGAUUCGCAAUCGAUUUCACCAUCAUCAUCGUAGUUCCAUUUCCCACUCUUCUCCUUCAAUGCGUCAAUCACGCCACCUUCUUCUACCGUCUUCUUCAACCCGCGAUGCUCUUCAAGAACCUCUUCCUCGAUCUAAGUUAA
This is a non-coding RNA of Vicia faba (fava bean), 348 nucleotides long. Lineage: Eukaryota; Viridiplantae; Streptophyta; Magnoliopsida; Fabales; Fabaceae. The record is from the annotation of a GenBank genome assembly.